CUUUCCAAAACUUGAACGUUUCCAAAGAUUAUCAGGAUUAUUGGAUCGUUUAAACACCGUUGAAGUAUUCUCCAGUAGUAAAGUGCAAGGAUCCAAGUAUCGCCAGCUGUUCACGGUGCUGACAGUGAGGUACAAGAUUCGACGCAACGGACUUUGAAGCAAUUGACAUGCGUGCAUGUUUCUUCAACCGCGGUAUGCAUCAUCAGCUGUUUAAAUCCAGCAUUGCGUGUACCAACUACGUAGGAACGAGGAGUGACAUUUGUAGAAAUACAUGCAGCCUAACCGUCCGUCGUACUGGGUGAGUCUGCACGGAUUGCAGGCAUAAAGGUCAGUGCCACGAUGUUUUCCAUUUUCUUCAGUACUCGCAGCGAUUUCCUAUCGCGAGCAUCGCAGUUCAACGGUCGAAACAAGCGUAACAAAAAUGGAAAUCCUGAAAUGAAAAAGUCGCUAGGACGUUACUUCUUGCUGCAAGUCCAACGGCUUUGAAGCGGCGAUUUCAAAAUUUCGAACGAUGAUGCAGAUGUUUUUCUCUUUGCUUUAUUUCGUAGUUACCAUACGCAAACGUCAUUUGAACGUACGGUAUUCUUUAUUUUUUUUUUUCACUGCAUCGUCACGUGGCUGUCGAAUGAGAGAUAUCGAGCUGUCUUGAAUCGGGCAAUCCUCACACGAUAUUAUAAAUCCAGCGCGUAGGAGACGAGGAAAAAGCUGAUAUCGGGGGAUACGCGUAUCAAGGGUCAGCUAUUUCUUAUUUUAAGGCCAUGUGGCAAUCCUGCCAUUACCGACUGAGCAGACUUGCCCGUUUUCUUCCUAUAUUAAAUUAACAAAUGAAAGGAAAGGGUUCAAAUUUCGACGGUGCAUCGCUCUUUCGUAUCGGAAUUCAGGUUACUCAUAUCCCGAAAAUCGUAAAGAAUAGACCAUCUUUUAUGUACGAAAUUAUUGUAAUUCCUAGUUUUCGUCUAGCGGCAACAAUACUGUUUGAAAACAGUGUCAAGAUGGCUCAUUUUACUCCUCAUUCUUUCCGUAAUUGCGCAAAGUAUCUCAGCUUUGCACUUUUUCACCACUGAACUAGGGAAAAUGUGAAAAUAGUAACACGUGUCUGAAAACCACACAUUUUUUGACAAUUUUUGGGACAUGAGUAGCCUUCCUGAAUUCCUCUACGUAAGAGUGAUACAUAGUCGAAAUUCUAACCCUUUCAUUUCAUUCGUUAAUUAAAUAUCCGAAGAAACGGGUGAGUUUGCUCGGUCGGUAAGGGUAGGACUGCUACACGACCUUAAUCCGAAACUGCGAAGAGCUGUUCAGUGUCGUUGCCACACGAGUUCCCCGUUUUUAUUGUCUUUCUUUCCCUCUGCGUUAUAUGUACUAGUAAUGCAUGUAAUAGGGAUUCGGGAUUAUCAAUAUACAUAGCAGUAGCGGCAAAGUUCACUCAUGACGUGAUUACCAGAGCAAUAGAAACGCUUUUGUAAUUUAUUUACAGUAACUAUCUUCGAACAAACUCUCUGCUCUCUGCCAACGAGCCACUUUAGUCACGUUCGCAGGUCUUGUACUUAAAAUUAAUUUUUAUACGUUUAUAGACCCUCAUAGUUUGUAGGUAUUUUGGUUUUUAUUGAUCGAAAUUGAGGAGGAUGGCGAGCGCUUCUCAGGGGAAGGCGGCGAGAGGGAACCACAGAAUUAUUACCAGCGGUAUUCUGCAGCGAUGAAGACAAGUAACGCGUAAGUCGUGGGUUUUCGUGAAGUUUAAUUUUGAGAAACAAUUUAUUUACACUUACCUGAGCAUUGUUGUGUUUAUAAUUACAUGGGCAAACAUGCGUGUACGUAAUUGGGUGAAUUUGAAACAGUUUAUUUGAUAAAAAUGAUCCAGCAUUAGAAAACUUGUGUAUGUAUACUAGAGAUUUAGUGCUUACCGCAAGGUUGAAGGGUUGAAAUUAACUGACUAUAAACUAAAUAAUGACAAGUGUUAUAUUAAUUAUGUAUAUAAAGUAUACAUAUGUAUUCAAUUCGGGGUGUUCGAACCAAUUACUUCUGAUUCAUGAAUAUUCGGUUCCCUUGAAUUAACGUUAUUAAUAAGCAUAUCUUCACCGUUCGCUCUUUUUAUGAUUCAGCAUCACAGUUGUUAGAUGGAAAAUUCUAAAAUCUGACAAUAUUCGUGUAUCACGUAUUGCUGAUAAUGUAUUGUCACUUUAUUUUAUCUGUAACUCCAUUGCCAGUAAAAAUAACUCAACGUGUUUCAGACUUAUAGAGCACAGGUAUAUAAAGAUUUAAGAUUAUAAAGACGUUUCUCAAUUUAACGCUUAUUUUGGACUUACAACUCGAAUUGCGCCACAUCAAUCACCAGGAUGCAUGCAAUAUAAUAAAUCAAUCUUGAUAUCGAAUAUCUACGUCAAAUUGACAAAUAUUUUCAAUGUAAAGAUGAAUUCAUCAUCCCCUCUGCAGAUGUAGAGCUUGCUCACUUUGAACGUAACCUUACCGAUUAAUGGAGCCAAUCAAGUAUUGACUAACAAAUGUUUUGGGUAUUUUUUCAUCCCACACCUAUAAGUGACAACGAUUGGUAACGUGGCUUGUUUUGUGGACUACUAUUUAUAGUCAUAUUCCGGUCGAUUUAUUCCUACCUUAUUAAAUAUUAAUUAUUAUUAAUUAUUAAUAGACAUUAAAAUGUUCAGUAAAACGUGAAUUCAUUAUUCAUUGAGUAUUAAAUACACUAUAUAUUGUCUUUCUUCUUGAAUACAAGCAACAAACAUUACAUUUACUAAGAUAUUAUGAUUGAGCAAAUCAUGCACUAUUAACACCUCUUUUUAAAGAAAAUUUGUCAUUAUUUUCAAGCAGACGGUGUAUUGGCUUUGAGCACGCACUUCACUUCGAAUUUCCUGUGAUAGCUAACGCUUACCUGAAACGUCUACUGCUAUAAGGUGACUAAUAUACUUGAAUGGCCCCUUAAUGGAGAAAUUCGACUUUUAGCCGUGAAUGACAAUGUUCGAAAUCGCCAUGAAUCUUGAAACGACAAUCCACAGAUUGACCCAGUAUUUCAUUCAAGGUAUAUUACAGAUUUGGUAUAAUUGAUAAGGUGAACCGAUAUGUGUUCUAUUUGUAACAGUUGAUAUCUGGUUUAAAAUUUUGGCAUGAAAAUAAUGCACAUUUAUUUCUUCAAGAAUUGAUAUGUAUGCUUGUCCACUGCAUUGAUACGUGUACGAAUAAUCAGCCAUAUUCACAAAACUCGGCAUUCGCAUCCCGCUACUUAACAUCGAUUUCUG
Molecule: long non-coding RNA, 3245 nt
Filed under: Neodiprion lecontei (redheaded pine sawfly)
Lineage: Eukaryota; Metazoa; Arthropoda; Insecta; Hymenoptera; Diprionidae
Description: uncharacterized LOC124292722
Source: RNAcentral